Molecule: ribosomal RNA, 430 nt
Filed under: Acidobacteriota bacterium
Lineage: Bacteria; Pseudomonadati; Acidobacteriota
Description: Acidobacteria bacterium partial 16S ribosomal RNA
Rfam family: Bacterial small subunit ribosomal RNA
Source: RNAcentral
UGGGGAAUAUUGGACAAUGGGCGGAAGCCUGAUCCAGCCAUGCCGCGUGUGUGAAGAAGGCCUUUUGGUUGUAAAGCACUUUAAGCGAGGAGGAGGCUACUUGGAUUAAUACUCUAGGAUAGUGGACGUUACUCGCAGAAUAAGCACCGGCUAACUCUGUGCCAGCAGCCGCGGUAAUACAGAGGGUGCGAGCGUUAAUCGGAUUUACUGGGCGUAAAGCGUGCGUAGGCGGCUUCUUAAGUCGGAUGUGAAAUCCCUGAGCUUAACUUAGGAAUUGCAUUCGAUACUGGGGAGCUAGAGUAUGGGAGAGGAUGGUAGAAUUCCAGGUGUAGCGGUGAAAUGCGUAGAGAUCUGGAGGAAUACCGAUGGCGAAGGCAGCCAUCUGGCCUAAUACUGACGCUGAGGUACGAAAGCAUGGGGAGCAAACAGG